RNAcentral lists this small RNA (418 nucleotides) under Pan troglodytes (chimpanzee). Its description in RNAcentral is "processed transcript". The record is from RNAcentral. Lineage: Eukaryota; Metazoa; Chordata; Mammalia; Primates; Hominidae.
GGAGGAGCAGAAGAGGCAAGUUAAAGGAAAGGAAGUUAGGAACCAUGCAGAGGAGCGGUUUUUGAGAAACAACAAUCUCCGGUUUGGGGCAUAAUAGGUGCUCAAUGGAGUCCCCUGUUUCCACACCAGCAGUGCUGCCAAUACACCUUUUGGUGCCAGUGGUCAACAAUGACAUCUCAUCUCCUUGUGAGCAGAUCAUGGUUCGUACCCGAUCAGUUGGGGUCAACACAUGUGAUGUGGCUCUAGCCACAGAGCCUGAGUGCUUGGGCCCCUGUGAACCGGGAACUAGCGUCAACCUUGAAGGCAUUGUGUGGCAGGAAACAGAAGAUGGGAUGUUGGUGGUAAAUGUAACGUGGAGGAACAAGACAUAUGUAGGUACACUCCUUGACUGCACACGACAUGAUUGGGCACCCCCAAG